CUGUUAUCCUACUGGAGAGUGGUCAACUGGGUAAUCACUAAGUGACUUGCACUCACGAGUCACGACACAAGAUUCUAUGCAGUAAACAUUUUGAUGACUCCUCAUUUACUAGCAGUGUUAGGAUAAGAUUAAACAAUUAUGCCAUCCCAAUUGGAACACAGGACUUGUGGUAAAGUUUCGCCAGGAACAAUGUUCAACUACAAGUGGAAGUGAACAAGAUACAAACAUCUCAGUUGAAAGACCUCAAGUGCUAGUAACAAUGGAAACUUCAUUACCUGUUCUGGAGCCAACCAUAUGUAAACCAACUAUGGUUAGCCUGAAGAUGCCAAAGACUAAAGGGAUUUUGAGGGAGCUGAAUUUAUGCAAGUCAGUAGAGUUGACCCCUAAAAAACUCAAACUUUACAAAAAAUGUAGGAGAAAUUUAAGCGAAAUUAUGAGACUAAGAAAAAAAAUAAAGAAACAACCACAUGCCCGCCCUGUUCAAACAAUUAACUACAGAUAAAAAAUAUAAAAAGUCUCAUAGAUAAAAAUAUAUCACAGCCAUUUGCAUUAUUGUUGCAAACUCAACUCCAAAAUACUCCAUAAACAUCCAAGCAUUAAACUCUCUUGGUUACUCAUCCAUAUUUGGACUUUAAGGGUCAUGAAAUUGUAACAAUUAUAGAUCCACCUCACCUAAUCAAAUGCUUCAGGAAUCAUUUUCUGAAGUACGACAUCAAAUCAAGCAUUGCAAAUUGAUGAAAAGUCUAUGUCAGUUAAUUUAAAUGUUGUAAAUAGCCUACCUUGCCAAGUAUUCAGCCAAUCAGUCGCUGCAGGAAUACUUGCGAAGAUUGCAAACAGUAAAUUGCCAUAAUGACGAGCUUCAACAAGAAGCAACAACGACAGCCAUGCUGAUAGAAAAAAAAUAUACCAGCUGUUCAACACCUUAAAUGGCGAUACGCCUGAUCGGAAAAGAGGACAAAAAUUCCUUACAAAUUUUACCCCAAGAAGCCCACAUUUAAAUUAUUUUAUUAAAAUGAAAACCAUGUUCCAGAAAUUAGCUAGUACAUUCUUGAUCCGUACAGCCAAAGAAUGGAACUCUACCAGCGUCUGUGUUUCCAGAAAAUUAUAACCUGGGGAUCUUUAAGUCGCGAGUGAAUAGGUUACUUCUAGGUAAGCGUGCUCCAUCCUAGACCGCAUUUUCACUUAUCAUCAG
This 1192-nucleotide unclassified non-coding RNA is filed under the name Melitaea cinxia (Glanville fritillary). Its description in RNAcentral is "misc RNA ENSMCXG00005013919.1". Lineage: Eukaryota; Metazoa; Arthropoda; Insecta; Lepidoptera; Nymphalidae. The record is from RNAcentral.